ACGCUCGACACCUACUGGAGGCAGCAGUUGGGAAUAUUGGACAAUGGAGGAAACUCUGAUCCAGUGACGCCGCGUGAAGGAAGAAGGUCUUCGGAUUGUAAACUUAUUUUGUCAGGGAAGAAAAAUGACUGUACCUGAAGAAAAAGCACCGGCUAACUACGUGCCAGAGCGCGUAUACUGAGCGGGCGUGGCGAAGGACG
Molecule: ribosomal RNA, 200 nt
Filed under: uncultured bacterium
Lineage: Bacteria
Description: partial 16S ribosomal RNA
Rfam family: Bacterial small subunit ribosomal RNA
Source: RNAcentral